UUUGUUGAAUCAGGUCUCUCAUGUUAACAGUUCAGUGUUGAAUCAGGUCUCUCAUGUUAACAGUUCAGUGUUGAAUCAGGUCUCUCAUGUUAACAGUUCAGUGUUGAAUCAGGUCUCUCAUGUUAACAGUUCAGUGUUGAAUCAGGUCUCUCAUGUUAACAGUUCAGUGUUGAAUCAGGUCUCUCAUGUUAACAGUUCAGUGUUGAAUCAGGUCUCUCAUGUUAACAGUUCAGUGUUGAAUCAGGUCUCUCAUGUUAACAGUUCAGUGUUGAAUCAGGUCUCUCAUGUUAACAGUUCAGUGUUGAAUCAGGUCUCUCAUGUUAACAGUUCAGUGUUGAAUCAGGUCUCUCAUGUUAACAGCUCAGUGUUGAAUCAGGUCUCUCAUGUUAACAGUUCAGUGUUGAAUCAGGUCUCUCAUGUUAACAGCUCAGUGUUGAAUCAGGUCUCUCAUGUUAACAGCUCAGUGUUGAAUCAGGUCUCUCAUGUUAACAGUUCAGUGUUGAAUCAGGUCUCUCAUGUUAACAGUUCAGUGUUGAAUCAGGUCUCUCAUGUUAACAGUUCAGUGUUGAAUCAGGUCUCUCAUGUUAACAGUUCAGUGUUGAAUCAGGUCUCUCAUGUUAACAGUUCAGUGUUGAAUCAGGUCUCUCAUGUUAACAGUUCAGUGUUGAAUCAGGUCUCUCAUGUUAACAGUUCAGUGUUGAAUCAGGUCUCUCAUGUUACAGUUCAGUGUUGAAUCAGGUCUCUCAUGUUAACAGUUCAGUGUUGAAUCAGAUCUCUCAUGUU
Long non-coding RNA from Polyodon spathula (Mississippi paddlefish), 783 nucleotides. RefSeq lists it as uncharacterized. The record is from RefSeq and is a predicted model, not a curated record. The transcript is spliced from 3 exons. Lineage: Eukaryota; Metazoa; Chordata; Actinopteri; Acipenseriformes; Polyodontidae.